AGUAUAAUGCCUGAAUAAAAGGGUUAUCUUGAUAGGAUAAAUAAUGCAUUUUAGCUUUUACUA
RNAcentral lists this transfer RNA (63 nucleotides) under Robertsicus elaphensis. RNAcentral's name for it is "tRNA-Ile". The record is from RNAcentral. Lineage: Eukaryota; Metazoa; Arthropoda; Arachnida; Ixodida; Ixodidae.